GAUGAACGCUGGCGGCGUGCCUAAUACAUGCAAGUCGAGCGAACAGACGAGGAGCUUGCUCCUCUGACGUUAGCGGCGGACGGGUGAGUAACACGUGGAUAACCUACCUAUAAGACUGGGAUAACUUCGGGAAACCGGAGCUAAUACCGGAUAAUAUAUUGAACCGCAUGGUUCAAUAGUGAAAGACGGUUUUGCUGUCACUUAUAGAUGGAUCCGCGCCGAAUUAGCUAGUUGGGAAGGUAACGGCUUACCAAGGCAACGAUGCGUAGCCGACCUGAGAGGGUGAUCGGCCACACUGGAACUGAGACACGGUCCAGACUCCUACGGGAGGCAGCAGUAGGGAAUCUUCCGCAAUGGGCGAAAGCCUGACGGAGCAACGCCGCGUGGGUGAUGAAGGUCUUCGGAUCGUAAAACUCUGUUAUUAUGGAAGAACAAAUGUGUAAGUAACUAUGCACGUCUUGACGGUACCUAAUCAGAAAGCCACGGCUAACUACGUG
This 497-nucleotide ribosomal RNA is filed under the name uncultured bacterium. Its description in RNAcentral is "partial 16S ribosomal RNA". It matches the Rfam family "Bacterial small subunit ribosomal RNA", at positions 28 to 507 of the family's 1533-position model. The record is from RNAcentral.